This 65-nucleotide transfer RNA is filed under the name Canis lupus familiaris (dog). Lineage: Eukaryota; Metazoa; Chordata; Mammalia; Carnivora; Canidae. RNAcentral also lists the same sequence under 1 other name. The record is from Rfam by way of RNAcentral.
ACCUGGGUGGCUCAGUGGUUGAGCGCCUGCCUUUGGCUCAGGGCAUGAUCCCAGAUUCCCAGGUU